UGGAAAGAAAAAUAAAAUAAGUGAAAGUGUGUGAAUGGGUUAUCAUGAUCGAAUUUAGAGUAGAUUAAAGGGGAAUCACAUGAAAUAAGAUGUUACACAAUGUGGAAGUUUGAAAAAUAUUUACUUAAUCCAUUGUAUAGUGACUUGAUUCUACUGCAACUUUUAAAAGAAAGAAACUACAUCAAAGAACUAUAGUCAAAUGAUAGGAAUUAAAAAGGUAAAAAGAUGAUUAUAUAGGGAGAAAUUAUUAAAAAAAGGAAGUAUCAUUCAUAUGUCAUGGAAAUAUCCUUAUGGUUGCUUUAUGGGUUUAAGGAAGUAGGAAUUAAGAUUAGAUAAACUUUAUUUUGACUACUUAGAAACUUGCUCAGAACGUAAAUGAUGCUAAAAGAGAUUUGAGAGUAAGAAAAAAGUAAAUUUAUUUAUAUGACUCAAAUUUAAAUAUGACACAACAAAAGAUAAAGAAUGAUAUGCCAAUGCCUUUAAAUGUAUUGUCUUCAUCUUGGAGCAGUCUAUUGUCAACCGUUUUGUUCAAUUACAGCCCUUAAGACUAAUAUUAUAUGAUUUUAAGGGAUUCACUUGAAUAUUUCAUCACAAUGAAGAAU
RNAcentral lists this long non-coding RNA (602 nucleotides) under Brassica napus (rape). Its description in RNAcentral is "long non-coding RNA (BNAP_LNC008419)". Lineage: Eukaryota; Viridiplantae; Streptophyta; Magnoliopsida; Brassicales; Brassicaceae. The record is from RNAcentral.